Molecule: non-coding RNA, 31 nt
Filed under: Mus musculus (house mouse)
Lineage: Eukaryota; Metazoa; Chordata; Mammalia; Rodentia; Muridae
Source: RNAcentral
UGUAAUGGUGAAGACAACCUGGAACUUGGAG